This 506-nucleotide ribosomal RNA is filed under the name uncultured bacterium. RNAcentral's name for it is "partial 16S ribosomal RNA". It matches the Rfam family "Bacterial small subunit ribosomal RNA", at positions 29 to 523 of the family's 1533-position model. The record is from RNAcentral.
AGUGAACGCUGGCGGCAGGCCUAACACAUGCAAGUCGAACGGCAGCACAGUGGAGCUUGCUCCACGGGUGGCGAGUGGCGGACGGGUGAGGAAUACAUCGGAAUCUGCCCAGUCGUGGGGGAUAACAUAGGGAAACUUAUGCUAAUACCGCAUACGACCUACGGGUGAAAGCGGGGGAUCGCAAGACCUCGCGCGAUUGGAUGAGCCGAUGUCCGAUUAGCUAGUUGGCGGGGUAAUGGCCCACCAAGGCGACGAUCGGUAGCUGGUCUGAGAGGAUGAUCAGCCACACUGGAACUGAGACACGGUCCAGACUCCUACGGGAGGCAGCAGUGGGGAAUAUUGGACAAUGGGCGCAAGCCUGAUCCAGCCAUGCCGCGUGGGUGAAGAAGGCCUUCGGGUUGUAAAGCCCUUUUGUCCGGAAAGAAACGCCUCGGAUUAAUACUCUGGGGUAAUGACGGUACCGGAAGAAUAAGCACCGGCUAACUUCGUGCCAGCAGCCGCCGUAA